Molecule: ribosomal RNA, 483 nt
Filed under: uncultured bacterium
Lineage: Bacteria
Description: partial 16S ribosomal RNA
Rfam family: Bacterial small subunit ribosomal RNA
Source: RNAcentral
GACGAACGCUGGCGGCGUGCUUAACACAUGCAAGUCGAACGAUGAAGCUGGAGCUUGCUCCGGUGGAUUAGUGGCGAACGGGUGAGUAACACGUGAGCAUUCUGCCCUUCACUCUGGGAUAACUGCGGGAAACUGUAGCUAAUACCGGAUACGAGACCUUGGGGCAUCCCAGGGUCUGGAAAGAAUUUCGGUGAAGGAUGAGCUCGCGGCCUAUCAGCUAGUUGGUGAGGUAAUGGCUCACCAAGGCGACGACGGGUAGCCGGCCUGAGAGGGUGACCGGCCACACUGGGACUGAGACACGGCCCAGACUCCCACGGGAGGCAGCAGUGGGGAAUAUUGCACAAUGGGCGAAAGCCUGAUGCAGCAACGCCGCGUGAGGGAUGAGGGCCUUCGGGUUGUAAACCUCUUUUAGUAGGGAAGAAGCGCAAGUGACGGUACCUACAGAAAAAGCACCGGCUAACUACGUGCCAGCCGCCGCCGUAA